Long non-coding RNA from Drosophila yakuba, 1612 nucleotides. RefSeq lists it as uncharacterized. NCBI's taxonomy places the organism in Eukaryota, Metazoa, Arthropoda, Insecta, Diptera, Drosophilidae. The transcript has 3 exons. The record is from RefSeq and is a predicted model, not a curated record.
GUCAGCGGAUUUGUUCUGGCGACUUGCCAGAAACAAAAAUUGUUAAGCAGACAAGCGCCCUUUGACAUCCCGUUUCGCGUUGGCUUUUUAUCAAAUCAGGACUUGAUUUGAUUAGACCCCGAACGGAAUGAUAAAUUAUUGCCUGGCUGAAUUGGCCAGCUGCUGGUGUCCUCUGACGACUUAAUGCGUGUCGUCUGCCAAACGAUUUGGAAAAAUUGAUUGUGUCCACACUCACAAUCAAUUGCCAAAGGAAACUCGGCAGCAGAACGGCCAAGCAAUAAACAAUUCCACAUCUAAAAGGGUCUGGGUUGAGUUUGGGGACGGACGCCGUUCACAAAACUACAGACAACAAAACAUGGCAAAAUAAUUGAACGUUCUUUUUUAUUUUGGCAAGUACAAAUACCAAGCCACAAAAGUGGAUUUUACUUACAGCAAGCGGCUGAUAAUGCAGAUGGAAAAACAAAGCCACAAAACCACUCUAUUCCAGUCCAGUGCUCCUGGUUGCCAAGGCAAUCUAAAAAUGCCUUUGCAUUCAAUGCUUUUCCGCAUCGGCCAGCUAAUAUUUUCCUAUAAUUUAUAUGGUCGCCCAGGGAAAACAUCCAGCAAACAACAACAACAGCAAAUAAAGCGACCAAUGAAAUUGUAAAGUGUCCUGUCAUCGCCACUCCAGGAGAUCCCACAACUGGCCAAAGCCCACUCAAGUGAGUCAAACACCUAGCAGCUCAAGUAAUUAGCAAUUUGUAUGGCUUUCGGCCGACGCCAUUUAUUUUGCGAAGAGCUCACAAAACUCCCGACUUGGCCAUAAAAGUUCAACACCGUUUGAGCACCUCAGCACAGCCCGCCAAGCAUAAUGAAUGUAACCUAACCAUGAUUUAUGCCAUUACGGAGCUCAUAAAUCUCUGGGUCAGCCAGGAAGUGGAGGGAAGGCGUGAUCGAAGACCAGCCACAAAUACCCUAAGUUGGUAUUAUCAAAAAUAAAUAUCACUUGUUCAUUUAAAGCCAAGAAGUUCAUUUUCUGAACAAAGGUUUACACUUUUUUACCUUAUUUAUAUAACAUAUUUAAGACAUUUGAGCUCAUAUCUGCGUGUGGUUGGGUUUUGGUAGUUCAGCACUAGAAAACCCCCUCAAAACGACGUGACUAACCGACCUGAAGCGGAGGAGUCUCCAGAUACAACUCUCCGUCCGGGAAAUUUCACAUAAUUACGUGCACCAGCCGGACUUUUGGGCUGGGAAAAUAGGUGCGAUGGUGGAUCCCGACACUUUGACCUUUCGGCCACAAUAUGCGCUCGUUAGUCAAUGCUUAGCAAUUUGUUAUCAAUCAAUAAUAAAUGUAAAUAACAUAAUAAUGAGAACACAGGCGUUGGACCCACUCCCCCGAAGAUGAUGAGGCAUCAGGGCAUGGGCUCAAAUGGCCUGUGGAAAGAAAAGGAAUUUGGCCUAAAUGAGUUAUUGCCCGCAUAAACAAAAACGGAAGUGCGAAAGCGCCCACGGAGGCAUGCGAUAUUAUAUUUUUUCCGCCCCAUCACGGCAGCUGUUUUCCGAAUAGACAACUCCGCCAAUUGAGCGAAUCAAUGGCCGUCCAGUCAGUCUUGAAAAUACAAAGAUACAAAAA